Molecule: non-coding RNA, 601 nt
Organism: Camellia sinensis
Lineage: Eukaryota; Viridiplantae; Streptophyta; Magnoliopsida; Ericales; Theaceae
Source: RefSeq, a predicted model, not a curated record
GCGUCUAUUUUUUUGCGACUGAUUAUUUUACUAUCGCAAAAAAUCACUUUUUACGUCAUAAUCCCAUUUUACUUAACCCCCAAAAUCGUGUUCUUAAUUGAAAACAAAAAAAACCCCCAAAUCGUGUUGCCCUAUCCCAUUUCACUCUUAUUUCCUAACUUUCUCUCUCUCUCUCUCUCUCUCUCUCUCAAAAUCUCACAAAUCAUAUUGUUAAUCUCUCAAAUUCUCCUCUCUCUCACUCAACUCUCCACUCUCUCUCGCUCGAAUCUCACUAUCCACUCUCCACUCUUCACUCUCUCUCGCUUAACUCUCACUUUGAUGAAGAUAUGAAGAUUUUGAUCGAUUGUUGAUGAAGAUUUGAAGAUUUCAAUCUACUGUUGAUGAAGAUUUGGAUCGAUUCAUAAUCGUUGAUACAUUCAUGAGGGCUUUACACACUCUUCUUUGUCCUUCCUCCACACUCAGUAGGCCGAAAUUUGAUUUGGAUCAAUUUCUUCUGCCAGCCACUGGCCAGUGCAUAUGGGCUUGCAAAACAUAGAGAUGGUCGGUGGGAAUGGGCAAUUGCUCCUGGUGUCUCACCAUUUCCUAGAUAUCAACAUGCAGC